This 349-nucleotide unclassified non-coding RNA is filed under the name soil metagenome. RNAcentral's name for it is "partial contains 5.8S ribosomal RNA, internal transcribed spacer 2, and large subunit ribosomal RNA". The stretch from base 1 to 120 matches the Rfam family "5.8S ribosomal RNA", at positions 35 to 154 of the family's 154-position model. The record is from RNAcentral.
GAUGAAGAACGUAGCGAAAUGCGAUAAGUAAUGUGAAUUGCAGAAUUCAGUGAAUCAUCGAAUCUUUGAACGCACAUUGCACUCAUUAGUAUUCUAGUGAGUAUGCCUGUUCGAGCGUCAUUUCAACCCUUAAGCCUAGCUUAGUGUUGGGAAUUUACCUAACUGGUAAUUCCUCAAAAUCAGUUGACGGAGUUCAGUUGACUCUGAGUGUAGUAAUUUUUUCUCGCUUUAGAAGUCUUCUGCGCUGUUGCCAGAAAUUUGCGUCCUUAUGGGUGCUAAUUUUUCUUAUGGUUGACCUCGGAUCAGGUAGGAAUACCCGCUGAACUUAAGCAUAUCAAUAAGCGGAGGA